This 392-nucleotide ribosomal RNA is filed under the name uncultured bacterium. RNAcentral describes it as "partial 16S ribosomal RNA". It matches the Rfam family "Bacterial small subunit ribosomal RNA", at positions 523 to 918 of the family's 1533-position model. The record is from RNAcentral.
AUACGGAGGAUCCGAGCGUUAUCCGGAUUUAUUGGGUUUAAAGGGUGCGCAGGCGGCCAUUUAAGUCAGCGGUUAAAUCGUGGGGCUCAACCCCAUUCUGCCGUUGAUACUGGGUGGCUUGAUUGCGGUCGAGGUUGGCGGAAUUCGUUGUGUAGCGGUGAAAUGCAUAGAUAUGACGAAGAACACCGAUUGCGUAGGCAGCUGACCAGGCCGCAAAUGACGCUCAUGCACGAAAGUGCGGGGAUCGAACAGGAUUAGAUACCCUGGUAGUCCGCACAGUAAACGAUGAAUACUUGUUUUCGGCGAUAUAAUGUCGGAGGCAAAGCGAAAGCGAUAAGUAUUCCACCUGGGGAGUACGCCGGCAACGGUGAAACUUAAAGGAAUUGACGGGG